RNAcentral lists this ribosomal RNA (1369 nucleotides) under uncultured bacterium. RNAcentral describes it as "bacterial SSU rRNA". It matches the Rfam family "Bacterial small subunit ribosomal RNA", at positions 28 to 1381 of the family's 1533-position model. The record is from RNAcentral.
GACGAACGCUGGCGGCGUGCCUAAUACAUGCAAGUAGAACGCUGAAGAGAGGAGCUUGCUCUUCUUGGAUGAGUUGCGAACGGGUGAGUAACGCGUAGGUAACCUGCCUUGUAGCGGGGGAUAACUAUUGGAAACGAUAGCUAAUACCGCAUAACAAUGGAUGACACAUGUCAUUUAUUUGAAAGGGGCAAUUGCUCCACUACAAGAUGGACCUGCGUUGUAUUAGCUAGUAGGUGAGGUAACGGCUCACCUAGGCGACGAUACAUAGCCGACCUGAGAGGGUGAUCGGCCACACUGGGACUGAGACACGGCCCAGACUCCUACGGGAGGCAGCAGUAGGGAAUCUUCGGCAAUGGGGGCAACCCUGACCGAGCAACGCCGCGUGAGUGAAGAAGGUUUUCGGAUCGUAAAGCUCUGUUGUAAGUCAAGAACGAGUGUGAGAGUGGAAAGUUCACACUGUGACGGUAGCUUACCAGAAAGGGACGGCUAACUACGUGCCAGCAGCCGCGGUAAUACGUAGGUCCCGAGCGUUGUCCGGAUUUAUUGGGCGUAAAGCGAGCGCAGGCGGUUUGAUAAGUCUGAAGUUAAAGGCUGUGGCUCAACCAUAGUUCGCUUUGGAAACUGUCAAACUUGAGUGCAGAAGGGGAGAGUGGAAUUCCAUGUGUAGCGGUGAAAUGCGUAGAUAUAUGGAGGAACACCGGUGGCGAAAGCGGCUCUCUGGUCUGUAACUGACGCUGAGGCUCGAAAGCGUGGGGAGCGAACAGGAUUAGAUACCCCGGUAGUCCACGCCGUAAACGAUGAGUGCUAGGUGUUGGAUCCUUUCCGGGAUUCAGUGCCGCAGCUAACGCAUUAAGCACUCCGCCUGGGGAGUACGACCGCAAGGUUGAAACUCAAAGGAAUUGACGGGGGCCCGCACAAGCGGUGGAGCAUGUGGUUUAAUUCGAAGCAACGCGAAGAACCUUACCAGGUCUUGACAUCCCGAUGCUAUUUCUAGAGAUAGAAAGUUACUUCGGUACAUCGGUGACAGGUGGUGCAUGGUUGUCGUCAGCUCGUGUCGUGAGAUGUUGGGUUAAGUCCCGCAACGAGCGCAACCCCUAUUGUUAGUUGCCAUCAUUCAGUUGGGCACUCUAGCGAGACUGCCGGUAAUAAACCGGAGGAAGGUGGGGAUGACGUCAAAUCAUCAUGCCCCUUAUGACCUGGGCUACACACGUGCUACAAUGGUUGGUACAACGAGUUGCGAGUCGGUGACGGCAAGCUAAUCUCUUAAAGCCAAUCUCAGUUCGGAUUGUAGGCUGCAACUCGCCUACAUGAAGUCGGAAUCGCUAGUAAUCGCGGAUCAGCACGCCGCGGUGAAUACGUUCCCGGGCCU